This is a long non-coding RNA of Octopus sinensis (East Asian common octopus), 122 nucleotides long. RefSeq lists it as uncharacterized. The record is from RefSeq and is a predicted model, not a curated record. The transcript has 2 exons. NCBI's taxonomy places the organism in Eukaryota, Metazoa, Mollusca, Cephalopoda, Octopoda, Octopodidae.
AUGUGAUGGUCACAGAUGGAAAGUCUCUGAUCAUAGCUACAUUAACAAUUAGAUAAAUAUAUCUACCCCGACUCCACCCCACACUCCACUUCUGUCUCCAAUCCACCCUGGCCCACCUCUAC